This 253-nucleotide ribosomal RNA is filed under the name uncultured bacterium. Its description in RNAcentral is "partial 16S ribosomal RNA". It matches the Rfam family "Bacterial small subunit ribosomal RNA", at positions 524 to 776 of the family's 1533-position model. The record is from RNAcentral.
UACGGAGGGGGCUAGCGUUGUUCGGAAUUACUGGGCGUAAAGCGCACGUAGGCGGCUUUGUAAGUUAGAGGUGAAAGCCCGGGGCUCAACUCCGGAAUUGCCUUUAAGACUGCAUCGCUAGAAUUGUGGAGAGGUGAGUGGAAUUCCGAGUGUAGAGGUGAAAUGCGUAGAUAUCGGGAGGAACACCAGUGGCGAAGGCGACUACCUGGCCCAUUCUUGACGCUGAGGCGCGAAAGCUAGGGGAGCGAACAGG